UACGAAGGGGGCUAGCGUUGCUCGGAAUUACUGGGCGUAAAGGGCGCGUAGGCGGAUAUUUAAGUCGGGGGUGAAAGCCCAGGGCUCAACCCUGGAAUAGCCUUCGAUACUGGAUAUCUUGAGUACGGGAGAGGUGAGUGGAACUCCGAGUGUAGAGGUGAAAUUCGUAGAUAUUCGGAAGAACACCAGUGGCGAAGGCGACUCACUGGCCCGUUACUGACGCUGAGGCGCGAAAGCGUGGGGAGCAAACAGG
Molecule: ribosomal RNA, 253 nt
Filed under: uncultured bacterium
Lineage: Bacteria
Description: partial 16S ribosomal RNA
Rfam family: Bacterial small subunit ribosomal RNA
Source: RNAcentral